This is a long non-coding RNA of Brachypodium distachyon (stiff brome), 2002 nucleotides long. RefSeq lists it as uncharacterized. The transcript is spliced from 2 exons. Lineage: Eukaryota; Viridiplantae; Streptophyta; Magnoliopsida; Poales; Poaceae. The record is from RefSeq and is a predicted model, not a curated record.
GCUAGUUCUUUUUUUUCUUUUUAGUACUAUGCUAGUUCACGGUUCGAUCGGUAUGAUUAAACGGAUCAACUAAGAUAUAUAUUUCCAGGGAAAUUACAAAGACAUAAAUUAAGAGCAUAUAUAACGGAAUCUGGUUUGAAAACAAGAUAUCUGCUUCAUCAUUUCAACAAGAAACGGUGCAGAACUAGCUAAUCAAGAAUUGAAAGCUCAAGAGAUUGGCAUCUCCCGGUAGCAGUACACAGUUAUUUCAGACGCACGCGCGCUCUGAUCACUUAAUUCCGCAGCACUGGAUGAUACACAUCGUGGUUAGCAAUAGAACAAUGGAGAGGACAUACAAGGACGACAUACGAGAUCUACAAAUUAAGUAGGUGUACAGGGCAGACGUAGAUGAGUGUUACCAGAUCUGGAAGGCAAUCGCACUGACGCUCCUUUCCUCUUGUGGGCACGCAGAUCUUACCCCCCUCCAGGCACCGACACUGCCAUGGCUGUCCUGUCCCCCCAGCCACACAUGAGAUCAUAGUACGAACACGGAGAGAGGGUAAAACGAAGGGCAAAAAACUGCAGAUCCCGGGAGUACGGAGCUCGCAUACUAGAGUAGAUCGGCCGGCCGGGAGAGUACUAGCUACUGCUCCACUACUGCAGAUUUGUUAUACGAGCCCGGCCGUCUCUCGAUCGAGCAUGCAUCUGGAAAGGCGCGCGGCUAGCCUCUAUAGCUUGCAGGCUUGCAGCGAGAUCGACGACGCGGCCGCCGUAUUAAUCAAUUCAUCACGCGCGCGGGCGAGCCUCUCUUGAUCCUUCCCCCGAGGCUCUCUCCCAGCCCCUUGGGAAACUGAGACAAGACUGGCCUGCCUGCACAAAGGGAAAGAGAGAGCAAAAGAAGGGAGAAUCCAUAUCCAUCAACGAGCGAGCAUGCGUGCAGGAGUAGAGUGGAGUAGAAUAGUCGUAGUAGCAGGCGAGCGAUGUACCUUGCUCCAAAACAGGGGUCCAAUCAUCCUCUCUCUUCCUCGAUCCGUGCGUCCAUGGAAGGGGCCGGGGCACGUACAAGAUAAGGACAAGGUCCCGCGCUCGCACGCCCGAUCUUAUCUCGUCACUGCGCGCGCCGCCCCCUGCAGCUUAGCCUGUGCCAGGUUUAUCUCAUCGAUCGCUGGAACCACACACACACAAAAAGUUAAUAAGGCUGCUAGCUCCUGUACAUGGCUCUUGUGCAAGAAAGAGAUAGGGACACAACAGGAGCAGAUAAUAUAGUCCGUGUGGCAGGGAGGAGGCUGGCGGGCUAGCCGUGUGUGCGAGAGGUGACAGAGAGAGAAGUGAGCACGCAGCAGCAGCAGCAUCAUUCGUUUUCGUGUAUGCCAUGCCAUGGCCGGCCAUGCCCGGCCGUGUCCGCCGCCGAAGGAAUAGAUGCAGUCUGGCCGCUGUGUGCUCACUCUCUUCUGUCACCCAUAGCCUUGCCACACCUGCCACAACACCCCCAUCACAAAAACAAACUCAACCAUUAGAACCACGGGAUCUCUGCCGGAGCGGAGGAAGAAGAUCAGAGGCGGCUCUCAGAUCUGUAUGUCACUGGGAUCUGCUUGGUGGUGUGGAGUGGCUAUGGCCGGAAAGAGAGAGGGGUCAGAGGGAGACUGGGAGAGGGAGGGAAAGAUAAUCGGAAUUCGAUUGAAGCUGCGUAUGUGACCGGAGCCGAUCCGGCCGAGAAGCCGCCGCGGCCGCGCGCUCGUACGGCGUACGCGCGACGGCGUGUGCAACUGGCUAUCGAGACGACGAGUCCCGCGUAUUUGAGGCGGGAGUGGGCUGAGCCCAGAGCAUUUUUUUUAGGGGUCUCGGGAGUGGGCUGAGCCCAGAGCAGAUAAGCUUACGACGACGUGGGGCCUCGGGAGCAAGGAUGGGCUGAAAAUAUGCAGAUCUUGUUGCAUUUUGACGAAUCUGUCUAUGAUCUUACCUUCGUGUUUUCUUCUGUUUAUUUAUUUUCUUGCUUGCGCUAAAAAAAAUUAUUUUCUUGCUU